AAAUAUAAUCGAAUAGGUUUAAGGCAGUAUUAUCAAAUGGCCAGCACACAACGAAUUAAUUGAUGCAAUUCUAAAAUAAAGAAAUAGCGUCAACUAAUAAUAAAUAGGAUCAGAAACUCCCUGAGUACUGUUGGUUUGAGUCGUCCCGGCGUCGAAUGUCUCCACGUUCUGAACUACUAGGCCCUGAGAUGCCAAGAUAGGGAAUUCCGUGCUCGUCGAGGUGCGGUACUGAACAGUCACUUAAAAUGAACCUGUAAAUGAUGUCAGAAAAUUAAAAUUCACGAUACUCUUUUUUUUUUUUUUUUUUUUUUUUUUGUUUUUUAAAAUUGAGAAAUAUGAACAACCAAAAAAUAUGUGGUUCAUCAAGAAAAUUCAACAUCUCUCAUUAAAUUCAGGUCCUGUAAUUGUUUGAGCCACCUUUUUUUGUCUCGUCAAUGGUUUAACUUUUCCAUGUUAAUUUUGUAGUAACUCACAAAUUUGGGCCUAAAUCACAGUUAAAACCUUAAACAAGCCCAAGCCCAAGCAAUACAAAUAAUCCAACCCAAUUGAAAUUAAGCCCAAACCCGAUUGAUACAAAUAAAUCAGCCCAAUUGAAAUUUAGCCCAAGCCUAAUUGUUAACUAAUAAACCAACCCACUUAAUUAUUAAACCAACUAACCCCAAACCAUAAAUCAUAACCCACACCCGACUGCAAUGGUAAUCGGCGGCUGGGAUGCGUAAACUCGAAGGGGAGUGUCAAACUGUGGGGCGCCGGUCUACUGGCGGCGACGCCUUGGGUCGCGCACUCGACUGCCGCGAUCGAGAACGGAGGCAAUUUGCAGUUUCCUGUUAGAAGCUAAGGCGCCGGAAGGUCUGUUCGAAGCAGCCGACGGGUGGGUUGACGUCGACGGCUUGGAUUCAAGAAACCGGCGACUGUGAUUUGGCAAACGACAGCCUAUCGGACUGGUAUGUUGGCUGAAAUUUUUUUAUCUUUUCCUUGUCUGAGGAUGACGGUUGAGGUGUGAGGGAGUUCGUUGGCGAAUUGCUGCAGAUGGUUGCUGGGGAUUUGCAGUUUGCAGAAGGCCGUGGUGGUCACGGCAGGUCAUUUGGUUUGUGGAAGUUUUGGUGCGUCUUUGUUGUGAAGUGCAGUGGACGGGAACAUAUGCAGAAACGGUGGAGGUGUGAAACUGGAUUCGGCUGAAACGAACUGUGAGCCUCGCAACGAACACCUACAUAUUUUCCCAAGUUCGCUCUGAUACCAAUUUGAUGUAGAAUAAUCCAGUAAACAUAAUAAGAAGAGAAGAGAGAAGAGAGAAGAGAGGGGAAGAAGAAGGCAGAGGCGGGGAGAGAGGAGAAACGGCUGAAGCCAACUCUUUUAUUUCAUCAAAUUCAUUGUCCCAAAUAACAAUGUAAGAUAGGUUUAAAUACUAGAAAAUAAUGCAAACCUAGGGCCAAGCCCAAUACAAAAGUCCAUAAAAUUAAAAUAACCUAAAU
Molecule: long non-coding RNA, 1472 nt
Filed under: Olea europaea (common olive)
Lineage: Eukaryota; Viridiplantae; Streptophyta; Magnoliopsida; Lamiales; Oleaceae
Description: long non-coding RNA (OEUR_LNC004304)
Source: RNAcentral